This 30-nucleotide transfer RNA is filed under the name Elatostema hybrid cultivar. Its description in RNAcentral is "partial tRNA-His". Lineage: Eukaryota; Viridiplantae; Streptophyta; Magnoliopsida; Rosales; Urticaceae. The record is from RNAcentral.
ACUGCCUUGAUCCACUUGGCUACAUCCGGC